GAUGAACGCUAGCGGCAGGCCUAAUACAUGCAAGUCGGACGGGAUCCAUUGAUAGCUUGCUAUCAAUGGUGAGAGUGGCGCACGGGUGCGUAACGCGUGAGCAACCUGCCUCCAUCAGGGGGAUAGCCUCUCGAAAGAGAGAUUAACACCGCAUAAUAUCAACAGUUCGCAUGUUCAGUUGAUUAAAUAUUUAUAGGAUGGAGAUGGGCUCGCGUGACAUUAGCUAGUUGGUAGGGUAACGGCUUACCAAGGCGACGAUGUCUAGGGGCUCUGAGAGGAGAAUCCCCCACACUGGUACUGAGACACGGACCAGACUCCUACGGGAGGCAGCAGUAAGGAAUAUUGGUCAAUGGGCGGAAGCCUGAACCAGCCAUGCCGCGUGCAGGAUGACUGCCCUAUGGGUUGUAAACUGCUUUUGGCCAGGAAUAAACCUAAAUACGAGUAUUUAGCUGAAUGUACUGGAAGAAUAAGGAUCGGCUAACUCCGUG
RNAcentral lists this ribosomal RNA (488 nucleotides) under uncultured bacterium. RNAcentral describes it as "partial 16S ribosomal RNA". It matches the Rfam family "Bacterial small subunit ribosomal RNA", at positions 28 to 507 of the family's 1533-position model. The record is from RNAcentral.